CCCUUAGAUGUUCUGGGCCGCACGCGUGCUACACUGAGUAAAUCAAUGGGUAAGGGAACACGAAAGUGCAACCUAAUCUUGAAAUUUGCUCGUGAUGGGGAUCGACGGUUGCAAUUUUCCGCCGCGAACGAGGAAUACCUUGUAGGCGCGUGUCAUCAUCACGCGCCGAAUACGUCCCUGCCCUUUGUACACACCGCCCGUCGCUCCUACCGAUUGAAUGCUCAGGUGAGCCAUUCGGACUUUCAUCAUGCUGGUUUCCAGUUUUGAUGAAGGAAAGUCUUGCGAACCUUAUCAUUUAGAGGAAGGAGAAGUCGUAACA
RNAcentral lists this ribosomal RNA (319 nucleotides) under uncultured eukaryote. RNAcentral describes it as "partial 18S ribosomal RNA". It matches the Rfam family "Eukaryotic small subunit ribosomal RNA", at positions 1470 to 1796 of the family's 1831-position model. The record is from RNAcentral.